AGCGAACGCUGGCGGCAGGCCUAACACAUGCAAGUCGAACGAACCUUUCGGGGUUAGUGGCGGACGGGUGAGUAACACGUGGGAACGUGCCUUUAGGUUCGGAAUAACUCAGGGAAACUUGUGCUAAUACCGAAUGUGCUCUUCGGGGGAAAGAUUUAUCGCCUUUAGAGCGGCCCGCGUCUGAUUAGCUAGUUGGUUGAGGUAAUGGCUCACCAAGGCGACGAUCAGUAGCUGGUCUGAGAGGAUGAUCAGCCACAUUGGGACUGAGACACGGCCCAAACUCCUACGGGAGGCAGCAGUGGGGAAUCUUGCGCAACGGGCGAAAGCCUGACGCAGCCAUGCCGCGUGAAUGAUGAAGGUCUUAGGAUUGUAAAAUUCUUUCACCGGGGACGAUAAUGACGGUACCCGGAGAAGAAGCCCCGGCUAACUUCGUG
Molecule: ribosomal RNA, 434 nt
Filed under: uncultured bacterium
Lineage: Bacteria
Description: partial 16S ribosomal RNA
Rfam family: Bacterial small subunit ribosomal RNA
Source: RNAcentral